UACGAAGGGGGCUAGCGUUGCUCGGAAUCACUGGGCGUAAAGGGUGCGUAGGCGGGUCUUUAAGUCAGGGGUGAAAUCCUGGAGCUCAACUCCAGAACUGCCUUUGAUACUGGAGAGCUAGAGUCCGGAAGAGGUGAGUGGAACUGCGAGUGUAGAGGUGAAAUUCGUAGAUAUUCGCAAGAACACCAGUGGCGAAGGCGGCUCACUGGUCCGGUACUGACGCUGAGGUGCGAAAGCGUGGGGAGCAAACAGG
This 253-nucleotide ribosomal RNA is filed under the name uncultured bacterium. RNAcentral's name for it is "partial 16S ribosomal RNA". It matches the Rfam family "Bacterial small subunit ribosomal RNA", at positions 524 to 776 of the family's 1533-position model. The record is from RNAcentral.